This 466-nucleotide ribosomal RNA is filed under the name Vreelandella stevensii. RNAcentral describes it as "partial 16S ribosomal RNA". It matches the Rfam family "Bacterial small subunit ribosomal RNA", at positions 338 to 795 of the family's 1533-position model. The record is from RNAcentral. Lineage: Bacteria; Pseudomonadati; Pseudomonadota; Gammaproteobacteria; Oceanospirillales; Halomonadaceae.
CCUACGGGUGGCUGCAGUGGGGAAUAUUGGACAAUGGGCGAAAGCCUGAUCCAGCCAUGCCGCGUGUGUGAAGAAGGCCUUCGGGUUGUAAAGCACUUUCAGUGGGGAAGAAAGCCUUGGGGCUAAUACCCUCGAGGAAGGACAUCACCCACAGAAGAAGCACCGGCUAACUCCGUGCCAGCAGCCGCGGUAAUACGGAGGGUGCGAGCGUUAAUCGGAAUUACUGGGCGUAAAGCGCGCGUAGGCGGUCUGAUAAGCCGGUUGUGAAAGCCCCGGGCUCAACCUGGGAACGGCAUCCGGAAACUGGCAGGCUAGAGUGCAGGAGAGGAAAGUAGAAUUCCCGGUGUAGCGGUGAAAUGCGUAGAGAUCGGGAGGAAUACCAGUGGCGAAGGCGGCCUUCUGGACUGAAACUGACGCUGAGGUGCGAAAGCGUGGGUAGCAAACAGGAUUAGAUACCCUAGUAGUC